Molecule: ribosomal RNA, 253 nt
Filed under: uncultured bacterium
Lineage: Bacteria
Description: partial 16S ribosomal RNA
Rfam family: Bacterial small subunit ribosomal RNA
Source: RNAcentral
UACGUAGGGUGCAAGCGUUGUUCGGAAUCAUUGGGCGUAAAGCGCGCGUAGGCGGUUAGGUAAGUCAAGUGUGAAAUCCCUGGGCUCAACCCAGGAAGUGCACUCGAAACUAACUAGCUAGAAGAUGGUAGAGGAAGGUGGAAUUCCAAGUGUAGAGGUGAAAUUCGUAGAUAUUUGGAGGAAUACCGGUGGCGAAGGCGGCCUUCUGGGCCAUUCUUGACGCUGAGACGCGAAAGCGUGGGUAGCAAACAGG